GAGAGCGUCUUCUGUGUUGCUUGCUGCUUGGGCUCCUGCAAGGACUUCAAGGAAGGAUUGGAGAAGAAGGGCCCAAGAAACUAGCAAGCAACAACAUCAUCUCCAAGGCGACCACUGUGACUGCAAUAAAGUGUGCAAUGGAACGGAACGACAAGGGCUCUACACUGCUCCUGAAAUGCUAUAAAAUCACCUAGAAGCAUGUAGCCAUGGAUACUUCAAGCAAAACAAUCAGAAGACAUAGUAAGAAACAUCAGCAAAACACUCAGAAUUCACAAAGCUUCUGAACCUGAUGAGCCACUGAUUCAGCAGGCAAGUCUUGUUCCAGAAGAUUUAACUCACCAAAACCAUGUCUAGUAGGUAGGCCACCCACAAAUACACAGCCUUACACUAGGGGAUGGGAGAAGAAGAAACUGGCAAGUCCCAAAGUUAUGCAAUACUGGCUGAAACUAUGUGGGGAGAAGAACCACGGCUCAGAGAACUUACUGGAAGGCCAUUCUCAGCAGCAGCACCCUUAUCGCAGGAGGCAGUACCCCCUUACUGUAUGCACUAGCCUUACGGCCAACCCCAAUAUUCCAAUGCUCUUGUGCAAACAGAGGUUUUUGAGGAUGCUGACAACCAAAGUGAGCUAUGCCAUUGUCUACGUCCUGGAAAAAUAACACCAUCACUUUUGGGGCAGAGGUUCAAACUAUGCACAGACCAUGCUGCGCUCCAAUGGCUACAAGAAGCCCAACACAAAAAGAAGCUUCUGUGUUAGCUUGAUGCUUCAAGUGUUUGAUUUUGAAUUGAAAUACAUUCAAGGGGAAGAUAACCUUGCAGAUGCACUGACCAGAGGGCCUUUUGAGGAUGAGAACUAAGAUACAAUUCAACUGUACCUGAUGCUAAAAGGAACACAUUAAUGGCUUAACUGAUGUAGAAUGUUUGGCAUGUUGAGGAUAUACUUUACUGUUGCCCUGCAGCAUUUUGAUGUUGUGCUAUAUUUAUGUGGAACAGAUAGCCAAGGUAGGGCUAUCAACUACAAAAACCAUAGCACAGUGUACCUGCUCUAAUCUUCCUAACUUGAUACAGGAAGUGGCUGAGGAAAUGGGAAGGCCACAGCUUGGAGGCUGGAAACAGCAGGAAGACCCCUGCCUAUGAAUAAUAAGACAGGGACCAGUU
Long non-coding RNA from Hemicordylus capensis (graceful crag lizard), 1155 nucleotides. RefSeq lists it as uncharacterized. The record is from RefSeq and is a predicted model, not a curated record. NCBI's taxonomy places the organism in Eukaryota, Metazoa, Chordata, Lepidosauria, Squamata, Cordylidae. The transcript has 5 exons.